Molecule: ribosomal RNA, 415 nt
Filed under: uncultured bacterium
Lineage: Bacteria
Description: partial 16S ribosomal RNA
Rfam family: Bacterial small subunit ribosomal RNA
Source: RNAcentral
UGGGGAAUAUUGGCACAAUGGGCGCAAGCCUGAUGCAGCCAUGCCGCGUGUGUGAAGAAGGCCUUCGGGUUGUAAAGCACUUUCAGCGAGGAGGAAGGUGGUGAGCUUAAUACGCUCAUCAAUUGACGUUACUCGCAGAAGAAGCACCGGCUAACUCCGUGCCAGCAGCCGCGGUAAUACGGAGGGUGCAAGCGUUAAUCGGAAUUACUGGGCGUAAAGCGCACGCAGACGGUUUGUUAAGUCAGAUGUGAAAUCCCCGGGCUCAACCUGGGAACUGCAUUUGAAACUGGCAAGCUAGAGUCUCGUAGAGGGGGGUAGAAUUCCAGGUGUAGCGGUGAAAUGCGUAGAGAUCUGGAGGAAUACCGGUGGCGAAAGGCGGCCCCCCUGGANGAAGACUGACGCUCAGGUGCGAAAA